This 106-nucleotide small RNA is filed under the name Paenisporosarcina sp. HGH0030. RNAcentral describes it as "RNA Staph. aureus E (RoxS)". It matches the Rfam family "RNA Staph. aureus E (RoxS)". From Rfam's summary of the family: It was shown to be regulated by the presence of nitric oxide (NO). In Bacillus subtilis it controls expression of genes with functions related to oxidative stress and oxidation-reduction reactions and it was renamed RoxS (for related to oxidative stress). The record is from Rfam by way of RNAcentral. Lineage: Bacteria; Bacillati; Bacillota; Bacilli; Caryophanales; Caryophanaceae.
GUGAAAUAAAUCACACACAAACAUACACCCCUUUGUUUGAACGUGAACAUUUCUCCCAUCCCCUUUGUGAAAAGAACCGUCACUCCAGAAAUGGAAGGACGGUUCU